RNAcentral lists this ribosomal RNA (488 nucleotides) under uncultured bacterium. RNAcentral's name for it is "partial 16S ribosomal RNA". It matches the Rfam family "Bacterial small subunit ribosomal RNA", at positions 27 to 507 of the family's 1533-position model. The record is from RNAcentral.
GGAUGAACGCUAGCGAUAGGCUUAACCCAUGCAAGUCGAGGGGCAGCACAAGGUAGCUUGCUAUCUGGGUGGCGACCGGCGCACGGGUGCGUAACGCGUAUGCAACUUGCCCUAUACAGGAGGAUAACCCGUCGAAAGACGGACUAAUACUGCGUAUGCUCACAACUUGGCAUCAAGUGGUGAGGAAAGAAAUUCGGUAUAGGAUAGGCAUGCGUCCCAUUAGCUUGUUGGUGAGGUAACGGCUCACCAAGGCAACGAUGGGUAGGGGAACUGAGAGGUUUAUCCCCCACACUGGUACUGAGACACGGACCAGACUCCUACGGGAGGCAGCAGUGAGGAAUAUUGGUCAAUGGGCGCGAGCCUGAACCAGCCAAGUCGCGUGAAGGAUGACUGUCUUAUGGAUUGUAAACUUCUUUUAUACGGGAAUAACAAGAGUCACGUGUGACUCCCUGCAUGUACCGUAUGAAUAAGCAUCGGCUAACUCCGUG